This 82-nucleotide transfer RNA is filed under the name Rhodospirillaceae bacterium. RNAcentral's name for it is "tRNA-Leu". It matches the Rfam family "tRNA". From Rfam's summary of the family: Transfer RNA (tRNA) molecules are approximately 80 nucleotides in length. Their secondary structure includes four short double-helical elements and three loops (D, anti-codon, and T loops). Lineage: Bacteria; Pseudomonadati; Pseudomonadota; Alphaproteobacteria; Rhodospirillales; Rhodospirillaceae. The record is from RNAcentral.
GCACCAGUGCCCGAGUGGUCUAAGGGGAAAGUCUUAAGAUCUUUUGUAUUCGUACGCGUGGGUUCGAACCCCACCUGGUGUA